Odocoileus virginianus texanus is the source of this 1375-nucleotide non-coding RNA. The record is from RefSeq and is a predicted model, not a curated record. NCBI's taxonomy places the organism in Eukaryota, Metazoa, Chordata, Mammalia, Artiodactyla, Cervidae.
ACAGCAGAGUCAUGAAGGUUCUGAGAAUCUAUUGCACAGUUCCACUGGGGAAAGAUUUGACGCUUCAGCAGCUAACUGCCUAGGGCAGAAUCAGGAAGACCAUACACAUCAGAAGGGAGGGAAAUCUACAAUGGAAGAACAAAAGGAAGAUCAGCUAGAUUAUGAGCCAGAGAAAGUGGAAAUCUUCAGAUUGGCCCAGUCAAAGAAGAACAUUAACAGUUUGAAUAUGGACCUUGAAAGGGAUAUGCAGAGAAUAGAUGAAGCAAAUCAGGACCUUCUUGUCAAAAUCCACGAGAAAGAAGAUGAGAUUCAGAGGUUGGAAAAUGAGAUCACUCAGACCAGGGACCUGGCAGAGGAUGAGGAGUGGGAGAAGGAGAACAGUGCCACGAUGGAAAGGGAAAGAGCCUUGCAAGAGGUGGAAGAAGAAACUGCCAGACUGGAAAGGAAGAAUGAGACCCUGGUCCACAACAUAGCAGAACUUGAAAGAAAGCUUACAAGGAAAUCUCAAAAGGCAACAAAGUGUGAACAAGACAACCUAAAGGGAACCCCAGAAGAGUCAAAGGUUAAGUUACAACAACUGGAAGCUUCCUGUGUGGACCAAGAGAAGAAGCUGGCCAAGGUAAUAGAAGACUAUGCAUUUGUGGCCCAGCUCUGUGAAGAUCAAGCUUUCUGCAUAAAGAAGUACCAGGAAACUUUGAAGAAAAUACAAGAAGAACUAGAAACUCGAUUCCUUGAGAGAGAAGUGGUGAAGAGAAAGAGACCCAAACUGCAUAAAGCCUCUAAAUAAGCAGGCACACAUGGUGGCCUGGUGUCCAAGGCACUGGGACCCAGAGGCUCUCACCCUUAAAGGACACCUUCAAGUCUCCCAAAAUCCUUCCUGAGCACUAGGUCAAAAGUUAUGUGCAUGAACUCCACAAGCAAAAAGUAUAACAGCCAAAAUAACAAGGAUAACUCUCUCCAAAAGAAGAAAGCAGGGUUCUAUAAAAGGAUUUUUCAAUAUUUCUUUUUCACCACCCUGUUUUUCAUCAGACUGCUGGGCUACUUGUUGUUCCAUAUAAGUUUUAUAAAUCCAGAUCUCUUUGUCAACAUACUGCCCAAGAUACUGAGCAGGAACAUCUUGUGGAAGCUAAGAUGUUUCCUCUUCCCAUCUCUCACACUUGAGACAGAGGACAUGUUACCCCACUGACCCCCAAGAAAUAUCCUUGAGCAAAAGAAGACAAGUAGCAUCUGAGUCCAUAGACUAGGAGACACGGAACUUGUGGAGGGAAGAGUUUUUCUUCAGUUUUUCCCUUGAGGUUUGCCUACUUCAUUACCAUCCCUCCUUGCACUGUCUUUCCAAGAUUAACCUUGUCCAGUAAAGAGCUCUGUCAAUGGA